This 1018-nucleotide unclassified non-coding RNA is filed under the name Leishmania donovani. RNAcentral's name for it is "gene:LdHU3.35.2330(CDS-product:hypothetical_prote in_conserved)". The record is from RNAcentral. Lineage: Eukaryota; Euglenozoa; Kinetoplastea; Trypanosomatida; Trypanosomatidae.
ACUACAGAACAGCACAAGCCAGUAAUGAUGAGAAAAAGCGCACGCCUGUGGCAGGGAAUUCAGCCUGAGCUUCAUCGCUAUUCUCACGCCACAUUUCAUGAAGGAACGCAUAGGCAGGCCCCUGGCGAUUCUACACCGUGGCGUGAUGUCUCUUCACCAGUCAACAGGUUCCGCGCGUGGUGGUUGGCGCCGGCGGCCAAAGGAAGUGUUAUCGCUGCCUGGUGCUUGACAUGUGUUAUCGGCGCAUAUUGCUUUAGCAUUCAGCAAGAUGCAAAGGGGACUUACCUUCUGAAUAAUGUUCUGCUUCGCAAUCUGCAUGAAGAGUCACAGAGAGCUAACGCCAACGAAGGGCGCGCGGGUGAGCUACAAGAGGCGAUGCGGCAGUAUCUUUCGGAGGAAAAGAGCCGCAAGCGAAGCGCCGCCAAGCUGGAGGAGUACGUGGCGUCUAGUGAAAAGAUGAAAGCCGGGAUUGUGAAUUACGAGUUAGAACUGGUACGAGAGCGAGGGAGAGCCGAUGCCGCACACGAGCGCAAUCAGCAGUUACUGAGGGAGCUGAUGUCUGUGCGAAGGGAAAUGGCGCAGGUUCAGAAGGACAACGCCACUUUGGUCAUGGAGGUAGAGAAAUUGCAGCGGCUACUGAAGCGUUUCGGUCAGCUAUGAGUAGAGAUUGAAGUGAAAAAUUGAUUAGUGACACUAUCUUACAUCCUACGCCACUUCGGCGGAUUCGCUGCUGCCGAAAAAAAAAACACGGAAAAAUGUUAGGGUACUUCCAGCAACGUACUGCUUUCCGAACUUUGGAGGCUGCAAAACGAACAAAAAAGACGAAAUGGGCGUCAAAUUCUUAACUUUACACGCUGAUGGUGUGCUGCAAUAAAUCGCAGUUUUUCUCUUUCAACCGCAACCGCUUAUUGGCUAAACCCUUUGAUCGAAGCUGCAAUUCAACCCUAGCCAUCUUGCUAUUAUUUUUGAUCCCCCACUCUCUUUCAAUAUUGCUACUCUGCUUCUGUUAUUUCCUUAG